UACGUAGGGCGCAAGCGUUGUCCGGAAUUAUUGGGCGUAAAGAGCUCGUAGGCGGUUUGUUACGUCUGCUGUGAAAACCCGGGGCUUAACCCUGGGCUUGCAGUGGAUACGGGCAGACUAGAGGCAGGUAGGGGAGAAUGGAAUUCCCGGUGUAGCGGUGAAAUGCGCAGAUAUCUGGAGGAACACCGGUGGCGAAGGCGGCAUCCUGGACCAACACUGACACUGAGGAGUGAAAGCCAGGGGAGCAAACGGG
This 253-nucleotide ribosomal RNA is filed under the name uncultured bacterium. RNAcentral's name for it is "partial 16S ribosomal RNA". It matches the Rfam family "Bacterial small subunit ribosomal RNA", at positions 524 to 776 of the family's 1533-position model. The record is from RNAcentral.